GAAACUAGCCAGACAUGCCAGCAGCCAUCUUAGAGACAGAAUCUUCAGAGAGCAUGCCAGAGUAGAGAAACUGCCCUUAAGAUCCUAUGAGGCGAAAAUAGUUCUACCACAUUCUACACAUUCUACGUGUACUUACUGCACUUAUAUCGCACCAAUAUUGCUAAAACUCAUCAUCUUUGUUCCUGAUUCCCUAUCCUGAUGAUGUUACCAAUAAAGAAAGUUAUUUUUGUA
Molecule: long non-coding RNA, 231 nt
Organism: Xenopus laevis (African clawed frog)
Lineage: Eukaryota; Metazoa; Chordata; Amphibia; Anura; Pipidae
Exons: 2
Source: RefSeq, a predicted model, not a curated record